GGACGAACCCUUGGAGAGAUCCAAUCGCUCAUUUUAAUCAAAACAUAGAGCGAAAAUGGACGCCGAAGGCGCAAAUUCAUGGCUUUGAAUGAAACGCUCAGGCAAAAGGACAGGGGAGAAAAG
Non-coding RNA from Haemophilus sputorum HK 2154, 123 nucleotides. NCBI's taxonomy places the organism in Bacteria, Pseudomonadati, Pseudomonadota, Gammaproteobacteria, Pasteurellales, Pasteurellaceae. The record is from Rfam.